Non-coding RNA from Schizosaccharomyces pombe (fission yeast), 1118 nucleotides. The record is from the annotation of a GenBank genome assembly. NCBI's taxonomy places the organism in Eukaryota, Fungi, Ascomycota, Schizosaccharomycetes, Schizosaccharomycetales, Schizosaccharomycetaceae.
UUGGAGUUGCUUGCUGUAAAGGAUACCCAUAAUAACGCCAAACAUAACCACAGCGCUGGCAUAAGGCAACAAUUUUACUUUUGUCCUUGGGACUACUUUCUUCAAUAGGGGGAGCAACAAACCACUCAGAGCUUCGCUUACUAUGACACCAACGACAAAUAGGAGUCUUUUUAAGUUUUAAAAUUUUCUGAAGAUCAUACAUUCCAAUGUCAUAACAACAUGUUGGCAACCCAUGAGAAUCUGUGGUAGUAGUUGAAAGGGAAGAAUCGCUUAGCUUUUUAAAUGUAUUCAACCCUUUAGGAGAAGAGGCCCAUGACAAAAAAGAAAAGAAAAUUUCCUUUAAAGAAUAUUCAAAUUUUAGUUUCUCUACAAAACAUUGCAGUGAUACGCCGAAUUCCUUUACCAAACUAUUAAUUUUAUGUUCAUCAACGCGCUUCCCUGUACAAUUUUUUGGGUCACCAAACCCUGGCAUCCACGAUUUUAACUUUUCAAAUGCAGCCGCUGGACUUAACUUGGUCUCAUAUAAAGCUGUUAUAGUUAAUUCUAAAAAUACAAAAGCUGAAACAGGAAGGCGAAGUUUUUUCCAAAGAUUCCAACAACUACACAAAUAGUCAUCUAGAAGUGCAUCGGAAUAUGUGAUUGGAACUAGAAGCAUAGCUGAUUGUAAGUUAGGCUCACAAAGAGGAAACAAAUAUCCCUUAAGUGGAAGAUCUUUUAGAAAAGGCCAACGUUCAAAAAAAGUUGGAAUAUCAACUUUAAAGCGCUCAUCUGACUUUAAAUCCAAGUCCAUUUCUUCAUCGGCGGUGGUUAAUGGUUGCAGUGGAUGUAAGUUAUCCUCUGAAGAAGUAGGAAGCAUUGGCGAGAUUGAAAUACGAGCACGGGAUGGGUAUAUGUCCGAUUUUUUUUCGACAGUCAGGUCACUUUUCAAAUCUAGGUAACGCAUAUUCCACGGAAGUCGUUUGAGCUUAGAUACAUUUGAAAAUGAGUUUGGUUUAUUUUCAUCAAGAGAUUUUCGAGAUUGCUGGUGUAGGUUGCGAGAAGACCUUAGGGACUUUAAAUUUCUUCGCUUCCCAUGAUCCUCUUGAAGAGAAACAUUAGACAAUGCUUUAUUAUGUCCU